GUACACGCUGUGACUAGCAUAUCAAUAAGCGGAGGAAAAGAGGGCUAUUACCUACGCUUAGGAUGUUGACGAGACUGUCGAUCUCAUCUAUACAUGAGUCUGUGCAUAUCAAUAAGCGGAGGAAAAGAAACUAACAAGGAUUCCCCUAGUAACGGCGAGUGAAGCGGGAAGAGCUCAAAUUUGAAAUCUUAAAGGGUUUCCCUUUACGAAUUGUAGUUUAAAGAAGUGUUUUCUGUUGAGGUUUUGGUAAAAGUUCUUUGGAAUAGGACAUCAUAGAGGGUGAGAAUCCCGUAUUUGACCUUUACUUUCAACUUUGUGAUACACUUUCAAAGAGUCGGAUUGUUUGGGAAUGCAGUCCAAAAUGGGUGGUAAAUUUCAUCUAAAGCUAAAUAUCGGCGAGAGACCGAUAGCGAACAAGUACCGUGAGGGAAAGAUGAAAAGAACUUUGAAAAGAGAGUUAAACAGUACGUGAAAUUGUCAAAAGGGAAGCGUUUGACACCAGUGUUGUUUUUCUGAAAAUCAAUUAAAGAACUGCUUAUGCUAAGCUGUUUAGACUUUAUCAGCUAUCUGUUUAGUUUUGAGCUUUUCUUUAAUGCACUUUUCAGUUAACAAGUCAACAUCAAUUUCUUUUGCUGUAAAAAAGCUUGAGGAAGGUGGCUUGAGAUUCGUCUUAAGUGUUUAUAGCCUCUUGCCUAUGCAGUCGGAGAGAUUGAGGUCUGCAGCGUAGAUCCUUCGGGGCUAAAUGCAUUUGUGCUAAGUUAUAGCAUUUUAUAGACAACUUGUUGACUAUGAUUUGUCUUGUAGCUUACUCGCUUAUGUUAUUUUACCUACGCUUAGGAUGUUGAAGAUGUAGCACAUCAU
RNAcentral lists this ribosomal RNA (861 nucleotides) under uncultured Neocallimastigales. Its description in RNAcentral is "partial large subunit ribosomal RNA". It matches the Rfam family "Eukaryotic large subunit ribosomal RNA", at positions 1 to 635 of the family's 3401-position model. The record is from RNAcentral. Lineage: Eukaryota; Fungi; Neocallimastigomycota; Neocallimastigomycetes; Neocallimastigales.